GGAGUUUGGGCCGUGUCUCAGUCCCAAUGUGGCCGGUCGCCCUCUCAGGCCGGCUACGGAUCAUCGCUUUGGUGGGCCGUUACCCCGCCAACUGGCUAAUCCGACGCGGAGCCAUCCUUCACCGUCUCGGCUUUCCUCCCUGCACCAUGCGGUGCUGUGAGCAUAUGCGGUAUUAACAGCCGUUUCCAGCUGUUAUCCCCCUGUGAAGGGCAGGUUCUCCACGCGUUCCUCACCCAUCCGCCGCUAAGUACAGAUUAAUUUGACCGAAGUCUCUUAGACACUGCACUCCGCUCGACUUGCAUGUGUUAGGCACGCCGCCAGCGUUCAUC
RNAcentral lists this ribosomal RNA (329 nucleotides) under uncultured Butyrivibrio sp. Its description in RNAcentral is "partial 16S ribosomal RNA". The record is from RNAcentral. Lineage: Bacteria; Bacillati; Bacillota; Clostridia; Lachnospirales; Lachnospiraceae.